AGGAGCCGCUCCGGCGGGCGCUGCCGGGGCCCCGCAGCCUCGCCCGUCCCGCGGCACUCACCCGGCAGCCCGAGGCAGAGCAGCAGGCUGUAGUAGACGACAGUGCCGCGGGGCGAAGGACGGGGCGGCCAGCGGGGACAGAGCCCAGCUCCAGCGGGGACACAGCCCAGCUCCAGCGGGGACACAGCCCAGCUCCAGCGGGGACAGAGCCCUGCUCCAGCGGGGACACUGCCGUGUUCCAGCAAUGACACUGCCGAGCUCCAGCAAUAACACACAGCGUGCUCCAGCAGGGACGCCCCCGUGGACGGCUCCCGCAGGACAAUGCUGAAAGGAAAUCAGCAUUUCUAAAACCGUCUUCACCCAUUCCUUAAGGCUUGUGUACGUCAGUACAUAGUCCCAGGUAUAACUAAUAAAGGAUUAGAGUUAGGCUUGUUA
This is a long non-coding RNA of Vidua chalybeata, 435 nucleotides long. RefSeq lists it as uncharacterized. The transcript has 2 exons. NCBI's taxonomy places the organism in Eukaryota, Metazoa, Chordata, Aves, Passeriformes, Viduidae. The record is from RefSeq and is a predicted model, not a curated record.